This 1215-nucleotide long non-coding RNA is filed under the name Cucumis sativus (cucumber). RNAcentral's name for it is "long non-coding RNA (CSAT_LNC000443)". Lineage: Eukaryota; Viridiplantae; Streptophyta; Magnoliopsida; Cucurbitales; Cucurbitaceae. The record is from RNAcentral.
AUUCACAUCCAAAUUCAAUUGGAAAGAUGAACUCAUUAACCUUGAACUAAGACAUCCUCCACCGCUCCUAAAAGGUGAGUGUAAGAUCUUUCAACCAAUUAUAUAAUGUCAGCUUCAUGCAUUAUGGACAUAUUAUUCAGUUUAAAUUGGUAGAUAGAUUGAACUAAAAACAGUAGUUAUUUCUAUAAGCGUAAGCACUCAAAUUUCUAUACAAUUAAAUCCCUAAACUGAUUGUCAAAGUUUCUUACAUCUGUUAACGAAACAAGCAGAAAGUAGGAUUACAAACAGUAUUAACCCUCUACAACAUAUUUUCUACAUGCGUGGAAUUCUCAACAAGAUAUAUAUUCUAGAAAUUCAUCCCAGAACAAAAGAAUAAAUAAAUAAAAUAUAAGAUAUAUUGAUGAUAGCUACUCAUUUGGUACUACAACAUCAAAUAAUUACACACAUUGAGUUUUCGAGAAUGUGGGUUGCAUAUAAGCAUUGCUUGUCACUCUUAAAUAUUUUCUUUUCAAGUUAUGCAUUCUCAUGGAUCACACAUCUAUUGCAUAUAAGCUGUUUGACAAUGAAAAUAACAUAUGAAGCAAAGUAGUUGUUAAGGAGACAGAUCCUAUCACAAGAUGUCAUGCAGUUCAUGAACAUAACAAUUAUGGUUCUGACAUAUUAAAGCUUUUUAUUACUCUCCUGGUGAUUAUCACCAUGUAAAAGGUCAAUGAUCAUAUAGGCAAUCAACAUGAUCUACAGGCCUAUAGAAAGCCAAUUUGUGCAAGCUCAACUUGUGCUCCUAGUUAAUAACAUUUGCACCCUCAGCAAUAUCCUAAAAUGAAGACUUUCUAUAAGUCAACCUAUCGAAUUAAGAUAAAUAAAACACCAAUGAGAUGAUUUUUUGAAAACAAAACUAAGCGGAUCGACCAAAAUUAUUCCAAUUGAAACAACCUAGCAUUUGUUGUUAAGAUCAUUGAUGUUUUUCUUAUUACUUUUUUUGUUCAUUUUCAGCUUGCACCUCUAGGGGUUUUAGACCAGGCAUAAAUACGUUUUUACGUAAACACAUGUUCUAAUGUUAGACAAAAGCUCCCCCACUUAGUGAAUUUGAAAGCCACACAAAACUGUUUGACCAACAAGAGUUUCUAUGAGAAUUGAAAGAAGUGGAGCAACAGGUCAGUGAGAAACUAAAUAACAACUUUGAACAAGAUCCAAAAGAAAAAACUUUAGAAAGAG